RNAcentral lists this non-coding RNA (73 nucleotides) under Pan troglodytes (chimpanzee). RNAcentral also lists the same sequence under 2 other names. The record is from RNAcentral. Lineage: Eukaryota; Metazoa; Chordata; Mammalia; Primates; Hominidae.
GAUCAUAUAUACUUGCAUAAUAUCAUCCCUUCCCUUGAUUUCUUUCAAUCUAAAAAUAAAUAUGAGAAAAACA